CUGCGAGUUCGCGGGAGAGUAAGUUAUUGCCAGGGUUUUUAUUUUAUGCUUUAAACAUUGAUUUUAUUUUUUAUGUUUUUAGAUGUUCAUGUUUUUGAAUGUUUUAUUUAAAUAAUAUAAAAAAUAAAAUAUAUAUUGACAUGGAUUAAACAAAGAUAUAUAUUAUUCUAUGUUGCAUAAACAAAUUGGCAAAAUAGAGAUGGAAGAUAAAAAUAUGGUCAAAGUAAUAAGAGUCUAUGGUGAAUGCCUAGGA
This 253-nucleotide unclassified non-coding RNA is filed under the name Borreliella garinii. RNAcentral's name for it is "5S-23S ribosomal RNA intergenic spacer". Lineage: Bacteria; Pseudomonadati; Spirochaetota; Spirochaetia; Spirochaetales; Borreliaceae. The record is from RNAcentral.